Molecule: ribosomal RNA, 468 nt
Filed under: uncultured bacterium
Lineage: Bacteria
Description: partial 16S ribosomal RNA
Rfam family: Bacterial small subunit ribosomal RNA
Source: RNAcentral
GACGAACGCUGGCGGCGUGCUUAACACAUGCAAGUCGAACGGAAAGGCCCUGCUUUUGUGGGGUGCUCGUGUGGCGAACGGGUGAGUAACACGUGAGUAACCUGCCCUUGACUUUGGGAUAACUUCAGGAAACUGGGGCUAAUACCGGAUAGGAGCUCCUGCUGCAUGGUGGGGGUUGGAAAGUUUCGGCGGUUGGGGAUGGACUCGCAGCUUAUCAGCUUGUUGGUGGGGUAGUGGCUUACCAAGGCUUUGACGGGUAGCCCGCCUGAGAGGGUGACCGGCCACAUGGGGCCUGAGAUACGGCCCAGACGCCUACGGGAGGCAGCAGUGGGAAAUAUUGCACAAUGGGCGGAAGCCUGAUACAGCAACGCCGCGUGCGGAAUGACGGCCUUCGAGUUGUAAACAGCUGUCGAAUGUGACGAAGCGUGAGUGACGGUAAUGGGUAAAGAAGCACCGGCUAACUACGUG